This 518-nucleotide ribosomal RNA is filed under the name uncultured Sphingobacterium sp. RNAcentral's name for it is "bacterial SSU rRNA". It matches the Rfam family "Bacterial small subunit ribosomal RNA", at positions 9 to 524 of the family's 1533-position model. Lineage: Bacteria; Pseudomonadati; Bacteroidota; Sphingobacteriia; Sphingobacteriales; Sphingobacteriaceae. The record is from RNAcentral.
GAGUUUGAUCGUGGCUCAGGAUGAACGCUAGCGGCAGGCUUAACACAUGCAAGUCGAGGGGCAGCGCAGGUAGCAAUACUGGGCGGCGACCGGCAAACGGGUGCGGAACACGUACGCAAUCUACCUUUAUCUGGGGUAUAGCCCGGAGAAAUCCGGAUUAACCCCCCAUAAUAUAUAGGAGUGGCAUCACUCAAAUAUUAAAACUCAGGUGGAUAAAGAUGAGCGUGCGUCCCAUUAGCUAGUUGGUAGGGUAACGGCCUACCAAGGCGACGAUGGGUAGCUGGUGUGAGAGCACGACCAGCCACACGGGCACUGAGACACGGGCCCGACUCCUACGGGAGGCAGCAGUGAGGAAUAUUGGUCAAUGGACGCAAGUCUGAACCAGCCAUGCCGCGUGAAGGAUGAAGGCCUUCUGGGUUGUAAACUUCUUUAUUGGGGAAGAAACUAUGGUUUCUACUAUAGCCGACGGUACCCAAGGAAUAAGCACCGGCUAACUCCGUGCCAGCCGCCGCUGUAAU